This 454-nucleotide ribosomal RNA is filed under the name uncultured bacterium. Its description in RNAcentral is "partial 16S ribosomal RNA". It matches the Rfam family "Bacterial small subunit ribosomal RNA", at positions 355 to 799 of the family's 1533-position model. The record is from RNAcentral.
UGGGGAAUAUUGGACAAUGGGGGGAACCCUGAUCCAGCCAUGCCGCGUGUGUGAAGAAGGCCUUAUGGUUGUAAAGCACUUUAAGCGAGGAGGAGGCUACUAGUAUUAAUACUACUGGAUAGUGGACGUUACUCGCAGAAUAAGCACCGGCUAACUCUGUGCCAGCAGCCGCGGUAAUACAGAGGGUGCGAGCGUUAAUCGGAUUUACUGGGCGUAAAGCGUGCGUAGGCGGCCAUUUAAGUCAAAUGUGAAAUCCCCGAGCUUAACUUGGGAAUUGCAUUCGAUACUGGAUGGCUAGAGUAUGGGAGAGGAUGGUAGAAUUCCAGGUGUAGCGGUGAAAUGCGUAGAGAUCUGGAGGAAUACCGAUGGCGAAGGCAGCCAUCUGGCCUAAUACUGACGCUGAGGUACGAAAGCAUGGGGAGGCAAACAGGAUUAGAUACCCUGGUAGUCCAUG